UUGACCUCAAAUCAGGUAGGACUACCCGCUGAACUUAAGCAUAUCAAUAAGCGGAGGAAAAGAAACUAACAAGGAUUCCCCUAGUAACUGCGAGUGAAGCGGGAAAAGCUCAAAUUUAAAAUCUGGUAGUCUUUGGCUGCCCGAGUUGUAAUCUAGAGAAGCAUUAUCUGCGCUGGACUGUGUAUAAGUGUCCUGGAAUAGACCAUCAUAGAGGGUGACAAUCCCGUCUUUGACACAGACUCCCAGUGCUUUGUGAUGUGCUCUCAAAGAGUCGAGUUGUUUGGGAAUGCAGCUCUAAAUGGGUGGUAAGUUCCAUCUAAAGCUAAAUAUUGGCGAGAGACCGAUAGCGAACAAGUACCGUGAGGGAAAGAUGAAAAGAACUUUGUAAAGAGAGUUAAACAGUACGUGAAAUUGCUGAAAGGGAAACGCUUGAAGUCAGUCGCGUUGGCUGGGGAUCAACCAU
This 463-nucleotide ribosomal RNA is filed under the name Termitomyces sp. Group5. RNAcentral's name for it is "eukaryotic LSU rRNA". It matches the Rfam family "Eukaryotic large subunit ribosomal RNA", at positions 1 to 456 of the family's 3401-position model. The record is from RNAcentral. Lineage: Eukaryota; Fungi; Basidiomycota; Agaricomycetes; Agaricales; Lyophyllaceae.